UGAGCCAAGUUUAGGGUUUUCUCAAAACCCAAAGAUGUUUGAACUGAAGAGUUUGAUCAUGGCUCAGAUUGAACGCUGGCGGCAGGCCUAACACAUGCAAGUCGAGCGGCAGCACGGGUACUUGUACCUGGUGGCGAGCGGCGGACGGGUGAGUAAUGCCUAGGAAUCUGCC
Molecule: ribosomal RNA, 172 nt
Filed under: Pseudomonas protegens
Lineage: Bacteria; Pseudomonadati; Pseudomonadota; Gammaproteobacteria; Pseudomonadales; Pseudomonadaceae
Description: partial 16S ribosomal RNA
Rfam family: Bacterial small subunit ribosomal RNA (bases 41-172)
Source: RNAcentral